RNAcentral lists this ribosomal RNA (725 nucleotides) under Plasmodium ovale (malaria parasite P. ovale). RNAcentral describes it as "SSU rRNA". It matches the Rfam family "Eukaryotic small subunit ribosomal RNA", at positions 191 to 864 of the family's 1831-position model. Lineage: Eukaryota; Apicomplexa; Aconoidasida; Haemosporida; Plasmodiidae. The record is from RNAcentral.
UGUCUUACGUAUGUACUUGUUAAGCCUUUAAGAGAAAAGUUUACAACUUAAGGAAUUAUAACAAAGAAGUAACACAUAAUAAGUUUACCUUAUUUAGUGUGUAUCAAUCGAGUUUCUGACCUAUCAGCUUUUGAUGUUAGGGUAUUGGCCUAACAUGGCUAUGACGGGUAACGGGGAAUUAGAGUUCGAUUCCGGAGAGGGAGCCUGAGAAAUAGCUACCACAUCUAAGGAAGGCAGCAGGCGCGUAAAUUACCCAAUUCUAAAGAAGAGAGGUAGUGACAAGAAAUAACAAUACAAGGCCAUUUCAUGGUUUUGUAAUUGGAAUGAUGGGAAUUUAAAACCUUCCCAAAAUUCAAUUGGAGGGCAAGUCUGGUGCCAGCAGCCGCGGUAAUUCCAGCUCCAAUAGCGUAUAUUAAAAUUGUUGCAGUUAAAACGCUCGUAGUUGAAUUUCAAAGAAUCAAUAUUUUAAGUAAUGCUUUUGGUUUAAGAUGCUUAGGCAAUACAACGUAUCUGCUCUUUGCAUUCCUUAUCCAAAAUGUGUUCUUAUUAUAAAAAGGAUUCUUUUUAAAAUCUCCUUUACUUUCUUGUACAGGAGAUUUUGUUACUUUGAGUAAAUUAGAGUGUUCAAAGCAAACAGUUAAAGCAUUUUACUGCGUUUGAAUACUACAGCAUGGAAUAACAAAAUUGAACAAGUCAAAAUUCUGUUCCUUUUUCUUAUUUUGGCU